AGUUGAUGUGAAGACGAGCCUUCACAGAAACGCAUACUUGUGUGUUGACUCGAAAAAUCAGAUUACAGUUAUCUCAUCAAAU
Molecule: non-coding RNA, 82 nt
Organism: Zea mays
Lineage: Eukaryota; Viridiplantae; Streptophyta; Magnoliopsida; Poales; Poaceae
Source: Rfam